AUUGAACGCUGGCGGCAUGCCUUACACAUGCAAGUCGAACGGCAGCGCGGGGGCAACCCUGGCGGCGAGUGGCGAACGGGUGAGUAAUAUAUCGGAACGUACCCAAGAGUGGGGGAUAACGUAGCGAAAGUUACGCUAAUACCGCAUACGAUCUAAGGAUGAAAGUGGGGGACCGCAAGGCCUCACGCUCCUGGAGCGGCCGAUAUCUGAUUAGCUAGUUGGUGGGGUAAAGGCCUACCAAGGCAUCGAUCAGUAGCUGGCCUGAGAGGACGACCAGCCACACUGGGACUGAGACACGGCCCAGACUCCUACGGGAGGCAGCAGUGGGGAAUUUUGGACAAUGGGGGCAACCCUGAUCCAGCAAUGCCGCGUGAGUGAAGAAGGCCU
RNAcentral lists this ribosomal RNA (387 nucleotides) under uncultured bacterium. RNAcentral's name for it is "bacterial SSU rRNA". It matches the Rfam family "Bacterial small subunit ribosomal RNA", at positions 29 to 417 of the family's 1533-position model. The record is from RNAcentral.